AGUAUGCGAUUUGUGGCUUUCACACGCACAGAUCAAAGUUAUAUAACAGCCCAUCUGUCAAUCAGCAUAAGGAUAUACACCAUUCCCACCCCAGGAAAUCAACUCCUCCAGACUGAGCUCAUUAAAAGAACCGAAAAAAGAACUCCCAGCUUGAGCCACAUGUUUGCUCAAGCCUGUGCUCAUUCUGUGGAGUACUCUCGGCUUUUACUCAUACUUUUAAUAAAUCUACACUUUUACUUCUGCUCUGUAUGUCUGGUACAGUUUGUUGUUUGAACACAAAGAGCCUGGUCAUCUCAUCAUGGAACACUCUGAAACCCUGUUACUGUAGUAACAGAUUCUAGGAACAAAAGACUGUCCUGAGUGAUUAAAGUACACUGGGUGAAGGCGAGUUCGGAUGCAAGCAGGGUCGUAAAACACAAGGAAGAGCACAUAAGCCUCUGGCUUUACGUGGAAUAGCUUGUGUAGCCAUGCUGGAAUUCUGAAUAGCAAAGCAACAAUAUUCUAACAUGAUUUAAGGGGAUCACUCUGAACGUUAGAUUAAGAAUAGGCUUUGGAGGAAAAAGAGUGAGACCAAAGAGACCAUUUAGGAGGCUAAUGUUAUUGUAGGAGGAGGUAACAGAAGCGAGGAAAAAUAGCCAGACUCUACAUGUUGAAAACAAAGUUAAGAACAUGGACAAAAGAGGAGUGACCGCUGACUCCAACCAUCUGUGUGGAUUCUUCUCACUCUGUCCCUCAUUCUGUGUGAACCUAGAAGUUUUCUGCAUCAGGCCUUAGGACACAGGAAGUCCUCAAAUAAACAUUUCAUGGAUAAAGAACUAAGCACUUCCUCUUCAAGCAGAAGAGAAGACUUUGAGAGAAUUGUUUUGGGGUGAAGAUAGAGUUGGAGUUCAGCACUGGACCCAUAGAUUUACCAUAAUUCCUUCAGUGCCUAGCAGAUGGAUUUCAGGAGCUCAGUAAGGGAGGCCCUGCUACACAUUUGGGAACCACCAGCGUCCAGAAAGCAGUUAGAGUCACAAGAUGAGAAAGAAAGACAAAGGGAAAUGAGAAGCGGGUCUACACUAAGCCCCUGUGCUCCUGCAGCAUUUGGAUGUUUCAGAGAUGAAGCCUGGCAUGAUGGUAGUGACUGUAAGUCCGGUAUACAGGAAGCUGGGGGAGGAGGAUCAAGGUCAGCCUAGAAGGCGAAGCAAGUGGGCUGCAAAGCAAGAGCUUUCCUCAACAAACAACAUCCACCCACCCCCACUUCCCACCCCCACAGAUGAUACAGAGUUAAAGAAUCCUCAAAACCAAUGGAGUGAUUAGGAACAAGAUAGAGACAGGAAAAUCAAACAUGAUGUCCUGGAAGCAGAUGUUGGACUCUGUUAGUGCAGCUCAUGGACCAAAUAAGACAGAAUCUAAGAACUAACCGUUGCAUUUAUCAGUAGAGCAGGGUCCAGAGACUUUGACAGAGCAAUUCGAAGAGGGGUAGGGCAGAUCUUCUGGGUCACUGCUGUGGGAGCCAGAGAGGGAGAGUGCAAGUUACAGAAAACUCUUCCAGGAGUUUUGCUGUGAUGGAAAAGAGGGAGAAGACAGAAGAGUAGAACCAAGACAGAUGUGUUGUUUUGAUUUUGGAGACUGAUGAGGAUGGCAGAGGCUGAUGGGAAGAAUCUGAGACAACUCCAUGCAAAGCAAAGGAAGUUUGCUGGUUAGGCAAGCUUGAAUGUGCGAAAAGUAAAGAUCUAGGCCACAGUCAGAGGAGUUGGCUUUUGCUAAUUUUUUUUUUCAUAGUAACGAGAAAGCUGAGUUUAGAUAUACUUGGUUGGUAAGUGGUGGUUGAGUUGGUGGCAUUUUGUUAAAUUAUUUUCUAAUUGUUUCUGUUUUAUCAGUGAAAUAGGAAACAGCUACCAGUCUACCUUGGAGACAGUGGUUUGAAGAGUGAAGAAAGGAGUAGGUAGUAUAGGAAAGUAAAAUUGGAUCAUGAGUCUCAAGCAGUAACCUUGAGGGUUUCGACUGUUAAUUUGUAUCAUGCUCUGUGGUUCACAGAAUAUUAGGUUCUUUGAAGUUAAGUCUACCUGAAGGAAGGGAAGGCAAAAAUCAUUGGUUCCAAUUUAGAGAUCAGGGAAUUGGCAGUCUAAGAGAUGCUACCACUUGCCAAAUUUACAUAAUUGGUGCAACUUGCCCCAAAUAGUCUAACACAUGCUUAACUUAUUUCACUCUGUGCUGCCCAGGAGCUGUCAGUAGUAUAAGAACAGAAGAUUACUGAGGAUUAGACAACAGUGAUCUCAGAAUGCUUCAGACUACCCAAAAGUGCUAGAAAGGAGACAAGAUUUUCAGGUGAAGAACAACAGGAAAGCCCUUUGACACAGCCGAGUGUUGAUUCAAUCCAGUCGCAGUGUACCAGCUGCUGUCCGGGAGACACCUUGUCUGCUUUGACCUGUCAGGAAAUGAAGAAUGGAAGCAGCUUCUAGAUCACAGGGUGGUCACUGGUCACACUAUGUGAGGACUCUGAAUCUACCUCUACAGAAAGGAGGAGGAUGUGAGGGCAGGACUCUCAUUGUUCAUCAAUUCUGUCUUCCCCUGCAUGCUGACAACCAACGUACCAUACCUGGAAAUCAUAAGCAAGAGCCGUUUAACUUGGAAUUAAACAGUCUAAAACCUAGGUUUUGAAACACACUUUGCCGAGGUGGUGUGCGGAUAGGACCUGGCCUUCUCCUUUACUUGGCUCACUAUGUUGCAGCUCUUAAAUGGAUGGACCGUUUAAAUGUUCCUCGAUUCUCCACAGACCAAAUUUAAUCCACUGACUUGACCUUCAAAACAUGCAGGAGCCAGUCACAGUCAUUGUUAUUGGU
This 2825-nucleotide small RNA is filed under the name Rattus norvegicus (Norway rat). Its description in RNAcentral is "uncharacterized LOC102554278". The record is from RNAcentral. Lineage: Eukaryota; Metazoa; Chordata; Mammalia; Rodentia; Muridae.